GAGAGACAGAGACCAACAGAGCAUUGACACAGGUCCACAGAGACAGAGCUAGAGACAGAGAGAGCGUGCACGGCGCACAUGUAUAUAAAGCCUGUGGGGCGCCUUUUCUUUUCACAUAGUGUGAUCCAGUCCUAUCAAUUACUAGGAUAUUGGCAUUUGUGAUCAUUGCGUCGUCUGGAAUUUUUUUCUGGAAAAAAGAGGAAACACAGCCAUCUGCCCAGAGCCAUCCAGAAUAUGUCCCAGAGGCCUGUCUGUGUGUACGCGCACUCAGAAGCCUGGGGGCCCUUUCCUUGUCUAAAUGUAGCUCCCCCACCGCGUCCCACCCCUGCACAGGAGCGAGGCCUGUGUCAACUUCAGCAGAGCGAGAAUGAGGACAGGCCCAGGGGCAGGGAACUGGACGAAGGGAGUUGGAGGCCUUUUCUUGGGAAUGGGUGGACCAUUGCCCUGCAUGGGGACAGGGACGGCACUGGUGGGGGAAGGAAAUCUUGAGCUGGUUUCGGCCUUGACCCUCAGCAGCUAGCCCCGGGAGCUCUCAUUCUCUGGACGCCAGGGCCUUGGGUUCCUUGGAUGAGGUGAGCAUGAGCAUGUGGGGUAAGUGUUCAUGUUUGUGCAUGUAUGUGUCUGUAUGAAAGAGAGUGAGAAUACGAGAACAUGCCUGUCCUGACUCACAGAGUUGGUGAAAUAAAAUCAAAGACCCAAUGAAAAAGCUCUUGAAAAGGUAAGAGGUCUGCCCAGAGCCAAGGUUUGUUGCCGAUCCUGGGAUUAGCUGACUUCUGGGCAUUUGGAGCCUGCAGCCGUCUGGACAUGAUCUGGGGACAAGUGGAGGCCAAGAACUGAAUAUCAGAGAGAGUCUCAGAGAGAAGGAAUGUGGACUAUGGCAGGUUGCCAGGGAUCACUCAUGCACACGGAUGUUUUGUUUCAUUUUUUAGAAACUUUGGGAGAGGAAAUAAGGGGGAGAAAAUGUAGAAUAUAUUGCAUUUCAGAACUUAGGAUGCCAACAACAAAUUGUACAACUGCUGAAGCUUAUUAUGGGGGUUUGUUAACAUGUGAACUUAAAUGCACCAAUCCUAUCCCUUGCCUCCAUUCAUUUAACUGUUUAAUAAAUAUUUGUUGAAUGCCUAAGAUUGAUUAAUUAAUUCAGCCAAUCACAGAUACUAUCACCCUCUUGCUGCAUACAUAGCAUUGUGCUAGAGUUGAUAUAAUGUCUAACAUGUUUGAGGAAUUAUUUCAUUCUGGAAAUUAUUCUUUCCACCUCUUCAGCAUCCUAGGAGAACUCCAAAUAAACCUUAGCAUCUUAUUUCAAUAUUUUUACAUCACUUGUUUAAAAUUUCUUAAAACCAAACCGGGUUUAUUUAUGUCAAAGUAUACGCAAAAUGUAUGUGCACGAGAGAUGCCAUCUGCAAAUAUAAAAGUCUGUAAACCAAGUCCCUGCCCAUGAUGGGGUGACACAGGGUGGAAAGCGUGUGCAGGCUUGCAUUCUUAUAAAUAUGGAUGAAAUGCACAUUCAAGAAUGGUUUGGAAAUGAUUAUUUCCUCCAUUUGUUGGCCAAAUGUACCAAAUCCUUAUCUUGGCCUCUUCCUUCUUUUGUUUGGAAAGCCCCACGUUGUCCUUGUCAACUUCCUCACUCAUGCUGGUCUCUGGAAUGAAUUGUUCCACCUCUCCCUGGGCUAUUCACUGCAACCAAGGACAUCUUAGCAAUGUGAUAUAUUUUCCCCUCUCCGAAGUCAAAUAGAUGUUUUAUAUCCAAUGGGCCAGAUUGUGCAGGAGCUUGUCUUCACCCCCACAGGCCACAGGCUGGAGCCUUCCUGGAACAGAGGCUACAUUGGCUGUCUUUUGACAAAGGUGCAUCCCAGCACAGAAGGGCAGCACAGAGGCAGCCUGAGAAGAUUCUGUCGCUGCCAGGUCACCAGGACCUCUGGACCACAGCUGGGUUGCGCUGUUUUCCAGUUUGUGAAACUAGGACUUUGGGGAACAUCCUGUGAAUUGGUGUCAUUUUGAUUUUCCUGGAGGAUUUUUGAGGUCAGCGUGACUGCUGUCACUAACUAAAAUAAAAUCCGAAGUCCCCAAGUGACUGAACAGACCCCCUCUUGGCCAAGGGGACCCCAGAGAAACCUGAAAGCUGAGCUCCCAGCCAUGAGGGGACGGGCGAUCGGACACGCUUCAUCACAGUCCCUCCCCUUUGUGGUUUAAACGACGAUGAUCGGCUGUCAUGCUAAAAUAGAGACACGAGACCGACAGCACAGACUCCUUAUGGCAAUAAGACACCAAAUUAUAAGCAGCACCUCAGGCCACGCCAGGUAAGGGUCGAGCCGCGCACUCUACACUUAGAGAACGGACUCUGCUCUCACACCACAGCGUCUUCUUUUUCUUCAGCAGCUAAACACGCACCGGCCCCGAGAUUCAAACGACUGCAGCUCAUCCACCUGCAGACGCUGGCUGACCCCGUUCCACAGCUGUGACUAUAGCUUUGAUUGGACAAGAGGUUGAUUUCAGUCUCCUGGUAAGAGACCACCAACCAUAGACCUGGUUCAGGCUGAUUAUAGAAGCUGCACACUUGUAUGCCUUCGAGUCCCUGCCUCACCUUUUGACGUGUAGGGACUCAUUGUAAUGCUUUUAAAUGUGAAGCCUCCACCCCAAAGUGAACAUGGGACGCAUGUAACGUGCAUGUUCAGUGGGCACGGCUCAGGACUCUCUUUGUGAAUAUUCAUAGCUCCUCCUGGAACCUGAAUAUGUAUGUUUGGCCAGCUCAAUUCAGCAUGAGGCUCCUGCUGCAACACCGCCUCCUUCCAGGUGCCUGCCAGCUGUUUCUGCCAGAGGCUGCGUCUCCCGGCCUGUCAGAAUGGCCACCCUGCAGGCUGUAAUCCUUUAGAAGAAAUAAAGAUCCCCUUUCCAGAUGUAUAGAUCUUGUGAUUUUUUUCCAUUCACAUCCUUGCAUCUUAUAAUGCCCUGUCUCCAUGGGGGUUACAUAGAAAGCCCUCAGCCUCUAGGGCAGAUGGAGCCAGGACUGAGGGUGGGGGUGGAGAAGGAUCAGGAGACUCACUUCAAGGACUUUCUGGUGCCGGCAGUGUAGGCUUGCCAGAUGAAAUACAGGACACCCAGCAACAUGAACUUUCGUAAUUUUUAUAGUGUAAAUGUGUUCCAAAUAUUGCAUGGGACAUGCUUAUCCUGAAGAAUUAUUCAUUGUUUAUCUGAAAUCCAAAUUUAACUAGGUGUCCUGUAUUUUUAUUUGCUAAAUCUGGUGACCCUUCACUGGGGAGACGCUUUUAAACAGCCUCAACUUAGAAAUUCUUCUCUUCCUGCCAAAAGCGCUAGGGUCUGUAUAUGGGUGCAUGGAAACACGAAAUUAUUGUCACAGGACUGAAGAGUAUGAAAGACUUCUAGUAACCACCAGCUGUGGCAGGGGCCUGUGCAGGGGGUACCCUGGCAGGGAGGAAGCUGCCUUAAUUUUCAACCUCGGACAGAAAAGCGCAUCUGUUAGACACAGCAGAAAGCAGACCUACAUGUAUGGUUAAUAAGGACUAUGUAUUUGACUGCUGUGGGUUCAAUUGUGUCCCUGCGAGAGACACAUUGAAGUCCUAACCCCUGCUGCUUCAGCAUUUGGCUUUAUUUGGAAAUAAGGUCACUGCCAGUGCAGUUAGCUGAGAUGAAAUCAUACUGGUGUCUGGUGGGCCCUUAUUCCAAUAUGACUCGUGAUAUCACAAGAAGAGGAGGACAGACACAGAGACACACUCCAGAGGGAGAAGGCCAUGUGACAGCCACGGACUGCUGGAAGCAGCGGAAUCUAAAGGCAAGGCAGGGAACAGAUUCUCCCUCCCAGUCCUUCGAGAGAACCAACUCUGCCGACAGCUUGAUUUCAGAAUUCUGGUUUCCAGAACGGUGAGAGAAUAAAUUCCUGUUGUUUUAAGCCUCCCGUUUGUGGUGCUUUGUUAUGGCAGCCCCAGGGACUAAUGCAGUCACCGUCACUUGAUUGCAGACAAAACGACUGAGGGUUCUCUGCAAUGAAUUUCAAGUUCUGAAUUGAAAGAGGCUUCAGAGCCUGAAGAAAGAGGCGAUGCCAGCACUCUCUGGAGUGGGAUCCACAGAAGCAGAGAAAGCCCAGGGGAUGAGCCAACCCAGAAUCCAAACGCCCGUGGAUCGGGCCAGACCCAGGACGGCGCUAUCUUGCACACCCAUCACAGGCUUGGGGACACUAGAACUGCACUGUCAGAUAUUCCUGACUUCAUGUGUGUGUGUUUGUGUGUGUGUAGAUCAGGCCAUAUGAUUUACUUGCUGCACUCUGAGCGAUGCUGUGUAGAUAAAGCUAUAUUAUCUAUUUGCUACACUCUGAAUAAUGCCUUCCUCAGUGAUAAUCAUAAUCAAGUGAGCUUUGGAUUGUCAUUAUGAAGUCUCAAAUUAAAACAAUUGGUUGAGAUACUGCCAGCAAGGCAACUAGAUCGGGGAUUGCAGCUGCUGAUGCCAGUCUAGUAUUUAGGUAAGAGGAUGCCUCCACCCUCUUAGAGCAUGUGGCUUGCACAUCCAUUCUUUCAGUGCAGGAAGGGCUGGAGUGUCCACUCCCUACUCCCAACCCCAUCAGUUGUUGUAUGGUCCAAAAUGCAAAGUAAUUUUAAUGUGAUCCAAGAUGCAUAUAAAAACAUUUUAAAAACAGAUAUGUUAUGCAUUGCUUAGAAUGAUGCACCAUCCGCUUCAUGAACAAGCAAGAACUAACUCUAUCAUUGACUUCAUCCACAAAUACUAGAGGUGAUGAACUUGAGGUCAAAGUUCCGAAGUCAGACAGCAUGGGUUUAUUCAUCGCCUGCUAUGUGCAAAUCCUAGAUGUCACCAGGCUCUGCUCACUUGGUGUCUUGGCCACUCUGGGUGAUGUUUACACAAGGCUUGGUGGCUUUGAGAUGGGUUGCAAACAAGAGAUAUCAGUUGUUGGACUUUUGCUUAUAGCUUGGGGUUGGACAUCCUCUAUCCCUCGAUACCUCCUUGCACCCAUCAGCCGUUAUCUUUGAAGGAAACUUUUUCCUUGAGUCUGGUUCCUUGUCUUCAGGUUCUAACCUCAUGGUUUUGGAUCCUUGUCCCUAUGGUUGUGAUCCUUCCUGUCCUUGGCUCUAGUGCUCUUUUUUUUUUUUUUUUCUAUUUCUUUCCUCUACCUGUGCACAUGACCUCUUUGAAGAGCUCACCUCCUCCAGGAAGCCUCCCUGGAAUCACCCUUUUGCCUUCCAUUCUCCUUGUUUAUACAGUCCAUGUCAGUAUAUCCAAAUUGAAUUAUCGCGGUGUGCUGCUUUGCAAUGUGUAUCUGAUUUCACCAAAACCCUCUACUGUCUCUAAUCCCGGGUAUCCAAUUUCAUGUGAAGUUCAGUGAUGUGCUCCUCCCUCCUCCUCUUGCACGCAUGAGCAGGUACUCAACACUUUCUGGUCCAGCUACAUGUGACAUGAGGCCACUCACGCUCUUUUUAAUUAACCCUUAUGACAAUCAUGUGCGUUAUGGAGAAAAUUAAUGGAGGAAAAAUUACAGAGUCACCCGAAACAGUUGCGCUGCUUAUCACCCGGUGUUUGAGCCUGUUUCCCCUGUAAUUAGAUUACAUGUGAGGCAGCCCCAGCUAAUUGUCUGUGCCACCCACCGGGGAACUCCAGCUCUAUCUGUGAACACCCAGGCCUUCCCGCCGCAGGACAGAUGUUGGGUGAGGCUUGCCUCCCACGCAAACAUCUGCUCUGUUGUUCCGAGUCAGUCACGAGAGCCAGCCGGCUUAGACAAGCAGGGGAUGAAUUCCUGGGCGAGAUGCUUGAUCCUGCCAAGUUUCUGAGCACCAGGCUUGGGCCUCUUGAACAGUUCCCUGCAUCUUCCAUGAUCGGCCAGUGCCUCUGCUUCUGCAUUUAGAAACCAGAGUUCACUUCUGGUGGCCUCAAGCCAAAAUGAGUCUACGAACCAGAAGUCUCUUGACAUUGACACUGAUAAACUUUGAUAUGGAAGCAUUUUUGUUUUUGGCAACCAUCAAUUUUUUUUUGUUUUUCCUCAAACACAUGCAUGGAUGAUGUGAGAACCGGUACCUGGAAACUGAGAGACUGCCGCAUGUGUUUCGGGCUCCCAGCUCUAUCCAUAACUGUCUUUGGGGGCUUCCUAGGCAACCUGG
This 6116-nucleotide long non-coding RNA is filed under the name Homo sapiens (human). RNAcentral's name for it is "HSALNT0404200". Lineage: Eukaryota; Metazoa; Chordata; Mammalia; Primates; Hominidae. The record is from RNAcentral.